AACGAACGCUGGCGGCAGGCUUAACACAUGCAAGUCGAGCGAGGACUUCGGUCCUAGCGGCGGACGGGUUAGUAACGCGUGGGAACGUGCCCCUUUCUUCGGAAUAGCCUCGGGAAACUGGGAGUAAUGCCGGAUACGCCGGAUCAUCGCGAGAUGGUUCGGGAAAGAUUUAUCGGAGAGGGAUCGGCCCGCGUUGGAUUAGGUAGUUGGUGGGGUAAUGGCCUACCAAGCCGACGAUCCAUAGCUGGUUUGAGAGGAUGAUCAGCAACACUGGGACUGAGACACGGCCCAGACUCCUACGGGAGGCUG
RNAcentral lists this ribosomal RNA (309 nucleotides) under uncultured Pseudomonadota bacterium. Its description in RNAcentral is "bacterial SSU rRNA". It matches the Rfam family "Bacterial small subunit ribosomal RNA", at positions 29 to 351 of the family's 1533-position model. The record is from RNAcentral. Lineage: Bacteria; Pseudomonadati; Pseudomonadota.